This 985-nucleotide ribosomal RNA is filed under the name uncultured eukaryote. Its description in RNAcentral is "SSU rRNA". It matches the Rfam family "Eukaryotic small subunit ribosomal RNA", at positions 123 to 1113 of the family's 1831-position model. The record is from RNAcentral.
GAUGGUCGAGAGUUACAUGGAUAACUGUGGAAAUCCUACAGCUAAUACACGCGUCAAGACCCGACUUAGAGGAAGGGUUGUGCUUACUAUUUCCCGAACCAACCCAGGCCAUUCGCCUGGGCCCUCGGUGAGUCACAGUAACUGAACGAAUCGUGUGGCCUUCGGCCGACGAUGAAUCAUUCAAGUUUCUGACCUAUCAGCUUCCGAUGGUAGGGUAUUGGCCUACCAUGGCAAUGACGGGUAACGGAGAAUUAGGGUUCGAUUUCGGAGAGGGAGCCUGAGAAACGGCUACCACAUCUAAGGAAGGCAGCGGGCGCGCAAAUUACCCAAUCCUGACACAGGGAGGUAGUGACAGGAAAUAACAGUACUUGGCCGCAAGGUCAUGUACUGGAAUGAGUGGCGCUUAUAUCCCGCUGCGAGUAUCGAUUGGAGGGCAAGUCUGGUGCCAGCAGCCGCGGUAAUUCCAGCUCCAACAGCGUAUAUUAAAGUUGUUGCGGUUAAAAAGCUCGUAGUCGGACUUCUGUCGAGGGUGGCUGGUCCAUCAUCUUGGUGUGAACCAGUCUGCCCUGGGCAUACUCUCGGAACGUGCGCGCGCACUUAAUUGUGUGGCGAUCGGUCCGAACGUUUACUUUGAGGAAAUUAGAGUGUUUCAAGCAGGCCUGUGCCUUGAAUACAUUAGCAUGGAAUAAUAAGCUAGGACCUCGGUUCAGCUUUGUUGGUUUCAGGGACCGCGGUAAUGAUUAACAGGAACUGUUGGGGGCAUUCGUAUUUAACUGUCAGAGGUGAAAUUCUUGGAUUUGUUAAAGACGGACCACUGCGAAAGCAUCUGCCAAGGAUGUUUUCAUUGAUCAAGAACGAAAGUUAGGGGAUCGAAGACGAUCAGAUACCGUCCUAGUCCUAACCAUAAACUAUGCCGACUAGAGAUUGGAGGAGUUAUUCCAACGAUUCCUUCAGCACCUUAUGUGAAAACACAAGUCAUUGGGUU